CCUACGGGUGGCAGCAGUGAGGAAUAUUGGUCAAUGGGCGGAAGCCUGAACCAGCCAAGUAGCGUGCAGGAUGACUGUCCUACGGGUUGUAAACCGCUUUUAUACGGGAACAACGUCCCCCACGUGUGGGGUUUUGCAAGUACCUGAUGAAUAAGCAUCGGCUAAAUCCGUGCCAGCAGCCGCGGUAAUACGGAAGGUGCGGGCGUUAUCCGGAUUUAUUGGGUUUAAAGGGUGCGUAGGCGGGGUGUCAAGUGUGCUGUGAAAUGUGCGGGCUCGACCCGGGCCAAGCAGUGGAAACUGACGAUCUUGAGUCGGCGGUAAGCAGGCGGAAUGCGUGGUGUAGCGGUGAAAUGCUUAGAUAUGACGAAGAACCCCGAUUGCGAAGGCAGCAUACUGGAGCGCGACUGACGCUGAUGCUCGAAAGCGCGGGUAUCGAACAGGAUUAGAUACCCCAGUAGUC
This 460-nucleotide ribosomal RNA is filed under the name uncultured bacterium. RNAcentral describes it as "partial 16S ribosomal RNA". It matches the Rfam family "Bacterial small subunit ribosomal RNA", at positions 338 to 795 of the family's 1533-position model. The record is from RNAcentral.